RNAcentral lists this ribosomal RNA (250 nucleotides) under uncultured bacterium. RNAcentral's name for it is "partial 16S ribosomal RNA". It matches the Rfam family "Bacterial small subunit ribosomal RNA", at positions 88 to 339 of the family's 1533-position model. The record is from RNAcentral.
AAGGAUAGUGGCAAACGGGUGAGUAACGCGUAGGUAACUUACCUCGAAGUCGGGCAUAACUCGCCGAAAGGUGGGAUAAUUCCCGGUAGUCUCCAAGUACUUCGGUAUCUUGGAGUAAAGCUCCGGCGCUUCGAGAGAGGCCUGCGUCCUAUCAGCUAGUUGGUAAGGUAAAAGCUUACCAAGGCUAAGACGGGUAGCUGGCGUGAGAGCGCGGACAGCCACAAUGGGACUGAGACACGGCCCAUACUCC